AAAGGGUGCGUAGGCGGCCGAUUAAGUCUGGGGUGAAAGCCCGUUGCUCAACAACGGAACUGCCCUGGAAACUGGUCGGCUUGAGUACAGACGAGGGUGGCGGAAUGGAUGCUGUAGCGGUGAAAUGCAUAGAUAGCAUCCAGAACCCCGAUUGCGAAGGCAGCUGCCUAGACUGUAACUGACGCUGAGGCACGAAAGCGUGGGGAGCGAACAGGAUUAGAUACCCUGGU
RNAcentral lists this ribosomal RNA (230 nucleotides) under uncultured bacterium. RNAcentral's name for it is "partial 16S ribosomal RNA". It matches the Rfam family "Bacterial small subunit ribosomal RNA", at positions 562 to 791 of the family's 1533-position model. The record is from RNAcentral.